Oncorhynchus mykiss (rainbow trout) is the source of this 6711-nucleotide non-coding RNA. NCBI's taxonomy places the organism in Eukaryota, Metazoa, Chordata, Actinopteri, Salmoniformes, Salmonidae. The record is from RefSeq and is a predicted model, not a curated record.
CUGAGUCUCACAGUAUACCGACACAUCUCAGAGUCAGAGACACGUUUCAAUACCACUGACAACAUGCUCGAUUUCCUUUGACAACCAAAACCUAUUGACAUUUUCCUAUACUGUACAUGAACAGUGCUAGCCUGGAUGCUAGGCUGUUUCUGCUUUAGCUAGCUUGUCUUGUGUUUCCUAAACUGCCUAGAAUCCAAGAGGGUGUUAUAUUUCUCAAUACAACCCCUUGAGCUUUCUUUCUUUCUUUCUUUCUUUCUUUCUUUCUUUCUUUCUUUCUUUCUUUCUUUCUUUCUUUCUUUCUUUCUUUCUUUCUGUUGUGAGCAUUGGAUUCAGUUGACCAACUAUAGUAGAUGUUUUUUUUCUAGAUUUGCUCAAGUUAUUAUGUGCCUUGCUAGGAUUUGCGUCUGUCUGGGUAUCAGAGUGACACUGGUUGAUGUUGUUUUUCCUCUGUAGCUUUUGGAUGGUUUUAUCACUAUGAAGGGAAGCUGCCCACACUCCGCAAGGUAUUCUGUACGGUCGCAGUUUGGUGUGCUGUGAGUGUGUUCUCUCGAAGCUAACACAUAUGCAGUGCCUUCAGAAAGUAUUCAUACUCCUUGACUUACUCCACAUCUGGCUGGUGCAGGAGGUAGGAGUAAUGAUCUGGCGGGUGUAGGAGGUAGGUGUAAUGAUCUGCCUGGUGUGGGAGGUAGGAGUAAUGAUCUGGCUGGUGUAGGAGGUAGGCAUAAUGAUUUGACUGGUGCAGGAGGUAGGAGUAAUGAUCUGACUGGUGCAGGAGGUAGGAGUAAUGAUCUGACUGGUGUAGGAGGUAUGAGUAAUGAUCUGACUGGUGUAGGAGGUAUGAGUAAUGAUCUGGCUGGUGGAGGAGGUAUGAGUAAUGAUCUGACUGGUGUAGGAGGUAGGAGUAAUGAUCUGGCUGGUGCAGGAGGUAGGAGUAAUGAUCUGACUGGUGCAGGAGGUAUGAGUAAUGAUCUGACUGGUGUAGGAGGUAUGAGUAAUGAUCUGACUGGUGUAGGAGGUAUGAGUAAUGAUCUGACUGGUGUAGGAGUAUUGAUCAAUAAACCUUUGCAGGAGGUAGGAGUAAUGAUCUGACUGGUGUAGGAGUGUUGAUCAGUAAACCUUUGCAGGAGGUAGGAGUAAUGAUCUGACUGGUGUAGGAGGUAUGAGUAAUGAUCUGACUGGUGUAGGAGGUAUGAGUAAUGAUCUGACUGGUGGAGGAGGUAUGAGUAAUGAUCUGACUGGUGCAGGAGGUAGGAGUAAUGAUCUGACUGGUGUAGGAGGUAUGAGUAAUGAUCUGACUGGUGUAGGAGGUAUGAGUAAUGAUCUGACUGGUGUAGGAGGUAGGAGUAAUGAUCUGGCUGGUGCAGGAGGUAGGAGUAAUGAUCUGGCUGGUGCAGGAGGUAGGAGUAAUGAUCUGACUGGUGCAGGAGGUAUGAGUAAUGAUCUGACUGGUGUAGGAGGUAUGAGUAAUGAUCUGACUGGUGUAGGAGGUAUGAGUAAUGAUCUGACUGGUGUAGGAGGUAUGAGUAAUGAUCUGACUGGUGUAGGAGGUAUGAGUAAUGAUCUGACUGGUGUAGGAGGUAUGAGUAAUGAUCUGACUGGUGUAGGAGGUAUGAGUAAUGAUCUGACUGGUGUAGGAGGUAUGAGUAAUGAUCUGACUGGUGUAGGAGGUAUGAGUAAUGAUCUGACUGGUGUAGGAGGUAUGAGUAAUGAUCUGACUGGUGUAGGAGGUAUGAGUAAUGAUCUGACUGGUGUAGGAGUAUUGAUCAGUAAACCUUUGCAGGAGGUAUGAGUAAUGAUCUGACUGGUGUAGGAGGUAUGAGUAAUGAUCUGACUGGUGUAGGAGGUAGGAGUAAUGAUCUGACUGGUGUAGGAGGUAUGAGUAAUGAUCUGACUGGUGUAGGAGGUAUGAGUAAUGAUCUGACUGGUGUAGGAGGUAUGAGUAAUGAUCUGACUGGUGUAGGAGGUAUGAGUAAUGAUCUGACUGGUGUAGGAGGUAUGAGUAAUGAUCUGACUGGUGUAGGAGGUAUGAGUAAUGAUCUGACUGGUGUAGGAGGUAUGAGUAAUGAUCUGACUGGUGUAGGAGGUAUGAGUAAUGAUCUGACUGGUGUAGGAGGUAUGAGUAAUGAUCUGACUGGUGUAGGAGUAUUGAUCAAUAAACCCACCCAGCCUUCUUCCUCCCAGCCCCCUACCUCUCCCUCCACUUUCCCCCAGACUCAACCCCGCCAUCCCCAACUUCUCCCCCCCCUCAUCCGCAAGCCUCCUCCCUCGGCUUCUACAGCGGCCUCCAGAGGAAGUCAGCUCCGUCCUCCUCCUUCCAAGUACCCUCCCUACUCCUCCUCCCACUACCCUCGUCCCUCACAGUCCUACAUGCCCCCCUCCUCCCCCCGGCCCACCCCUCAACCUCCCCCUCCUCCCCCCCCACCUCCCCCACCCCUUCCACCCCCUCCGCCCCCACCCCACCAGCACCCUGAGGAGAGGCUGGGGGGAGGGUCCUAUGGAUGGUACCACCACCAUCACCCCUCCAGUCAUCCAGAGACAAGGAGCGAGUGGAAACGGGGUGGGUAGCCUCCCUGGGGUGUCUAUGGUCUGGUCUGAAAACAGCGCCUAGCCCUUGCCUUCCACCGAAACCUUUUAGCUGAGUUGAUGGGAGCAGACAACAAUUCGCAAUGACUGAAUGGUGUGAAGAAGACAUCUCUUUCCUCUCCAUUGAAAUGAAAUGCUGUUUUUUAUUCAGUUUGUCAAGUCUCUGUGUGAUUUGUAAGGUUGUUAUAGUAUUUGACAGCAGUGGGUGUAGAAUCGCAUGGCGUGUUGUGGUGUGAUAUGCAGUAAGUAGUGGGUGUUGUUUGUGUGUGAAGACAUUAUAUUGUCAAUGGAGGCGAAAGAGGCUGUAAGUCAAGACUGAAUAGCUCCUUUUGAAGUGCACAAUAUCUCCUGUCUUGAUGUGUUCCACUUCAAACACCCCUGUGUGUGUGUGUGUGUGUGUGUGUGUGUGUGUGUGUGUGUGUGUGUGUGUGUGUGUGUGUGUAACAUUCAUAUUCCCAUAGUGUUUUGCAAAAGUAAUUUGGGGAUGAAUACACAGUACUCUUUCCCUGGUUCAGGAGAUGAGAAACACUUCCCACGUCAGUGGUGUAUCCAAUUCAAGCAAUCCCCUGGUAAGUCUGAUAUUUGAGAGUGUUCAUUACGCCUGCCUAGAAGGAGGUACUUGUGUGAUGUGAACAAAUGUUGAGACAAGCUGGAGAUAUGUUGACAUUGAAACCACACAACUUUCUUCACAGUUCUAGAACAUCCCCAGGGCUCUGACCUUACAGGGUUAAACAUAGAUAUACAUAGGGUUAAAUCACAGGGUUAAAGCUCUGAUGUCACUGGUGUCAUCAUGAGCUGUUUGUUCUGGGAUUCAGCAGUAGAAUCCUGCUUCUCACUGUAGACCACUGUAACCCCAUUGCUUGCUGUCAUAUUUGCUGCUGAAUGGAUGUUCCCAAUAACAAAUAGCUCCUAGCCCGCCCAACCAGAGGUGUCAGAUGGCCUCUGCCAUGUCUAAACCAGUCAUGUUACCCCAGAGCCAGUCCCAUCGACCUACCCCAUGCCAAGAAAAACAUGCUCCUAACCCCCCUCUUUAGCUCUCCCUAAAAACCCUCAAUCCCUUUGUGGACGCUUGCUAUGUUCUCCUGUCACUGUCCCUAGUCGGGGUGCUAGUUGGUUGUCACUGUCCCUAGUCGGGGUGCUAGUUGGUUGUCACUGUCCCUAGCCGGGGUGCUAGUUGGUUGUCACUGUCCCUAGUCGGGGUGCUAGUUGGUUGUCACUGUCCCUAGUCGGGGUGCUAGUUGGUUGUCACUGUCCCUAGCCGGGGUGCUAGUUGGUUGUCACUGUCCCUAGUCGGGGUGCUAGUUGGUUGUCACUGUCCCUAGUCGGGGUGCUAGUUGGUUGUCACUGUCCCUAGCCGGGGUGCUAGUUGGUUGUCACUGUCCCUAGUCGGGGUGCUAGUUUGUUGUCACUGUCCCUAGCCGGGGUGCUAGUUUGUUGUCACUGUCCCUAGCCGGGGUGCUAGUUGGUUGUCACUGUCCCUAGCUGGGGUGCUAGUUGGUUGUCACUGUCCCUAGCUGGGGUGCUAGAUGGUUGUCACUGUCCCUAGUCGGGGGGUGCUAGUUGGUUGUCACUGUCCCUAGCCGGGGUGCUAGUUGGUUGUCACUGUCCCUAGUCAGGGUGCUAGUUGGUUGUCACUAUCCCUAGUCGGGGUGCUUGUUUGUUCAAGAUGUUUUUCUGGUUUCUCUGCUGUACAAGACAAGGAUGGUUAGUGUACAGCGUAUUUAAGAUACUGUUUGAAGAGGUCUUGUUUCGAUCAUUUUCACAAUUGUACAAUAUUAUUCCAGUCUCACAGUGUGGAAAUAUAUAUAAAACACAGGAAUAUCACGUUUUUGAUUGUAACUCCCCUGAAUGUGGUAUGACUAUAGGACAAAGACAAUGUAUUCGAAAGAGCUUCUGAAGUUGCAUAAUUGUAAGUUUGUUAAUGGGAAAAUAUAGCUGUUUUUUCCCAUUCCUGAAAGGUUUCUGUUUUGGAGAUAAUAGCGAGGCUACGCUAAUGUCCCUUCCUCUCUUCCUGUCACCCUGUUUGAUUGCAUGACUAUGGAGAUAGCACUCUGCUCCCGCUGGUCAUUUACCAUAUGUCAGCACCACAGGAGGUUGGUGGCACCUUAAUUGGGGAGGACAGGCUCGUGGUAAUGGCUGGAAUGAUAUCAAAUACAUCACACACAUGGUUUCCAUUGAUGCCAUUCCAUUUACUCUGUUCCAGCCAUUGCUAUGAGCCGUCCUCCCCUCAGCAGCUUCCACUGGUCACCACCGUCCAGAAAAACCAAGGGAGGAUCGAGUCUUCAUAUAUUAUCCAUGUUGUCAAGGGUGAAUCCACAGAGACUAUUAUAGUCUUUGCAGUUUAUCAACAGAACUUGUCAGUAAACAAGUACUUAACCCUAAGAUGCAGAGAGGGAGAGAGAAAAAGAAAAAUCUUAGUGUCUCUUCUGAAUGACAUCUGGUUCCUGUGCUACAGCCGCCGGAGAUGCUGAAACAGAUGGUGACGUAUAACACCUCCUUUAGGUCCAACAACAAGAGACAAGUAAUCCAUACCCAUCACCACCUUCCCCUCUGACUCUCUUCUCCUUUGACUCUCCUCUCCUCUGCUCUCCUCUGCUCUGAGUGGUUGUUAGUAGUUUAGUGGCUGUUUCCCCUUCCUCUUUCCUAACUAAAUCAAUCCCUCUUUCUUCAUCGGAGUGAUGCGUGUAGUGACUGCCUCCUUUACUUCUCUGGUUCUCAAUCUGUCCUCUUUGUUUGAUGCACUAGUUCCUUUUAGUCGCACGUUCGAUAACUCAACUAAUGACUGUGGAGUGCACAUGUAUUGGGCAUUCUUUUGUCUCUGUGUCGAUAUGCGGAUGGUGUGGAUGUUGAAUGGUGUACAUUAUGUGGGUGUACGUCUUCUUUUAGUGUCCAGGUUGAUCUCAUGUUAUCUGACAGUGCAUUGUCCUGCUGUCAAGGCCUUUUUAGUAUUUGAUACAAAAUGAGAUUGGGAACACAAAAAAACACUCUCUGCUCUAUGAAGAAAGAGCUCCAUGUUUUUACACAACCCUACAGAUCAUGAUUAUUGUUAAAACCAACUUUGAUUUUACAGUCCUUGUUCUUAAAUUCAUUCCCUACACUUCCAGAUCUGUCAUAACAAACUCUGUGGAAAUCUCAAUUGGUACUCUGCUAUUCCCUAUAUUCUGCACUAUACUGUAUCUGGUGGAAAGUGGUGCACUAUAGGCAAUUUGUGAUGCAGCCUCGUACCUCAGAGGGCCUUUUGUUCUUGUGAUGCUUUCAAAAAUCUGUUGAUGUGUCCAUGAGCAAGGAACUUAACUCUAAUUGUUCCAGGGUUGCCGUCAAUAAUGGCUGUUCCCAGGCUCUGACCCCGCUCUCUAAGGGUUCUCAAGAGUGGUGGGAUAUGCAAGAAAACGAUUUACCAAUUCGCACUUGUACAUGUGUGAAAUAGGACAAAUGUAAGCACCCAUUGAAUUAUUAUCGUGUUAUGAUUAUAUUCAAAAUACGUCAAUGUCAUUGCAAUGAAUAGGCUUGUACUCAGCAUGUCAUCUUACUCAGUCAGAUUCAAUCAACGUUCAUUCAGAAAGCAAUGCUUUUAUAGAGACGCUUUUUAUUCCUCCUUUGUCCAUGAAUGCAGAAUGACGAGCUGUGGCCCUCAGAUUUUGAUGGUCACAGAUGACGGUGUGUGUGCUUUUGUGUGUGUAUGUGUGUGUGUGUGUGUCAAUGAGGCCUGUCCUAGAGGAGAAAGAUGACCUUUAGAUGUCACACUGUGAAUGUGAUAUGUGAGACACGUGAAAGGCAGAUUGAACAAGCCUGUUUUGUUUUUUAUUUUCAACUCCUUUUGAGAUGUUUUGAAGUGAAAAUUAGAAAUGCAGUCGCUAUCUCACUUUUUCAAACAACAGUGAUUGAACAGUGGAGGAAACAGAAAAACGGAUUUUCAGUAACAAUGGAAAUUUGCUUCAAAAAUCAAUGUUUUAUACAGUACCUUGCAAAAGCAUUCACCCCCUUGGUGUUUUUCCUAUUUUGUUUCAUUACAACCUGUAAUUAAAUAGAUUCUUAUUUGGAUUCAAUGUAAUGGACAUACACAAAAUAGUCCAAACUGGUGAAGUGAAAUGAAAAAAAUAACUUGUUUUAAAAAAUGCAAAAAAAUAA